RNAcentral lists this ribosomal RNA (880 nucleotides) under Xylaria sp. 3C9413. RNAcentral's name for it is "eukaryotic LSU rRNA". The stretch from base 282 to 880 matches the Rfam family "Eukaryotic large subunit ribosomal RNA", at positions 1 to 609 of the family's 3401-position model. Lineage: Eukaryota; Fungi; Ascomycota; Sordariomycetes; Xylariales; Xylariaceae. The record is from RNAcentral.
AUGAAGAACGCAGCGAAAUGCGAUAAGUAAUGUGAAUUGCAGAAUUCAGUGAAUCAUCGAAUCUUUGAACGCAUAUUGCGCCCAUUAGUAUUCUAGUGGGCAGGACCGUUCGAGCGUCAUUUCGACCCUUAAGCUUUAGUUGCUUAGUGUUGGGAGCCUACGGCAACGUAGCUCCUCAAAGUUAGUGGCGGAGUUGGUUCACACUCUAGACGUAGUAGAUUUUUAUCUCGCCUAUCAGUUGGACCGGUCCCCUGCCGUAAAACCCCCCAACUUCUUAAAGUUGACCUCGAAUCGGUUCAGACAAACUCGCUAAAUUGAAGCAUCUUAGUCAGCGAAGGAAAAGAAACCAACAGGGAUUGCCCUAGUAACGGCGAGUGAAGCGGCAACAGCUCAAAUUUGAAAUCUGGCCCUCGGGUCCGAGUUGUAAUUUGUAGAGGAUGCUUUUGGCGCGGUGCCUUCCGAGUUCCCUGGAACGGGACGCCUUAGAGGGUGAGAGCCCCGUACGGUUGGACACCAAGCCUCUGUAAAGCUCCUUCGACGAGUCGAGUAGCUUGGGAAUGCUGCUCUAAAUGGGAGGUAAAUUUCUUCUAAAGCUAAAUAUUGGCCAGAGACCGAUAGCGCACAAGUAGAGUGAUCGAAAGAUGAAAAGCACUUUGAAAAGAGGGUUAAACAGCACGUGAAAUUGUUGAAAGGGAAGCGUUUGCGACCAGACCUUUUCCUAGCGGAUCAUCCGGUGUUCUCACCGGUGCACUUCGCUAGGUUUAGGCCAGCAUCGGUUUCUGUAGGGGGAUAAAAGCUCUGGGAACGUAGCUCCUCCGGGAGUGUUAUAGCCCUCUGCAUAAUACCCUUACGGGGACCGAGGACCGCGCUCGGCAAGGAU